GAUAGUUUAUGAUAAAUUAUGAGAAUGAUUCAGGGAGUGACUGCAAGAUCAAAUCCUGACUCAUCUCACCAUCUAUAGCAAAAUCCAAUUAUCUUAGAUGAGUGAUCAAAUCACUCAUCUUCAGGACAUGGGUCUGCAUGGAGUUGCCUUCACUUAUCCUAACAUGAAAUAACUACUUAGAUAUCUUAUAUCUAGUAGUUUGACUUUAUUCUCCAUAUAACUCCUUUAAGUUAAGGAGUAUGUAAGGAAUAUCUAUACCUUCAUGUUACAUCUGAAGCUCAUUACUCAUAGAGGCAAGCAUGAUGCACUUCACAGAUACACUGCCAUCUUGCCACAUCUUGUAUAUAGCCCUUUCUUCUUUAGUAGCAUCUUCACCGAUCAUGUCGGGUGUAGAGGUAUCCAGAAUAUAGGAGACUUUCUCCUGUGUGAGAAUAAUUCUCAGAUUUCUCAACCAGUCUAUAUAAUUUGAUUCGGUCAACUUGUUGGCAUCAAGUAUGCCACGUAGUGAAAGUGAGGAUACCAUUAUACAGAUUAAUCUAUAAAUACAAAAAUAUAAUAUAAGUGGAUAACUCAUGAUGACAUGUACAACUAGAUUAGAACUUUUGUCUAAUUAUGUCUCUCACUUUUUAACGAAUUUUCUAGCCCUCAAGUAUGAAAAUGAGAAAUAUGAUCAUGUUUCUAAGUGGGGUUGAGAUCUCUAUUCCUCACAAACACCUUGUGG
RNAcentral lists this long non-coding RNA (721 nucleotides) under Elaeis guineensis (African oil palm). Its description in RNAcentral is "long non-coding RNA (EGUI_LNC053300)". The record is from RNAcentral. Lineage: Eukaryota; Viridiplantae; Streptophyta; Magnoliopsida; Arecales; Arecaceae.